RNAcentral lists this ribosomal RNA (274 nucleotides) under uncultured bacterium. RNAcentral describes it as "partial 16S ribosomal RNA". It matches the Rfam family "Bacterial small subunit ribosomal RNA", at positions 523 to 796 of the family's 1533-position model. The record is from RNAcentral.
AUACGGAGGGUGCGAACGUUAAUCGGAAUUACUGGGCGUAAAGCGCGCGUAGGCGGCUUUGUAAGUCGGAUGUGAAAGCCCUGGGCUCAACCUGGGAAUGGCAUUCGAUACUGCAGAGCUAGAGUAUGGGAGAGGGAAGUGGAAUUUCCGGUGUAGCGGUGAAAUGCGUAGAUAUCGGAAGGAACACCAGUGGCGAAGGCGACUUCCUGGGCCAAUACUGACGCUGAGGUGCGAAAGCGUGGGGAGCAAACAGGAUUAGAAACCCCAGUAGUCC